RNAcentral lists this ribosomal RNA (257 nucleotides) under uncultured prokaryote. RNAcentral's name for it is "partial 16S ribosomal RNA". It matches the Rfam family "Bacterial small subunit ribosomal RNA", at positions 524 to 780 of the family's 1533-position model. The record is from RNAcentral.
UUCAGAGGUCCCGAGCGUUGUUCGGAUUUACUGGGCGUAAAGGGAGCGUAGGCGGUUCGGUAUGUCGAAUGUGAAAGCCCACAACUCAACUGUGGAAAUGCAUUCGAAACUGCCGGGCUAGAGUGCUGGAGAGGAUAGUGGAAUUCCAUGUGUAGCGGUGAAAUGCGUAGAUAUAUGGAGGAACACCAGUGGCGAAGGCGACUCUCUGGUCUGUAACUGACGCUGAGGCGCGAAAGCGUGGGGAUCAAACAGGAUUA